This 253-nucleotide ribosomal RNA is filed under the name uncultured bacterium. RNAcentral's name for it is "partial 16S ribosomal RNA". It matches the Rfam family "Bacterial small subunit ribosomal RNA", at positions 524 to 776 of the family's 1533-position model. The record is from RNAcentral.
UACGGAGGAUCCAAGCGUUAUCCGGAUUUAUUAGGUUUAAAGGGUGCGUAGGCGGGGGAAUAAGUCAGUGGUGAAAGGCGUCGGCUUAACCGAUAGUGUGCCAUUGAUACUGUUCUUCUUGGAUAGAGUUGAGGCUGGCGGAAUGUGUAAUGUAGCGGUGAAAUGCAUAGAUAUUACACAGAACACCAAUUGCGUAGGCAGCUGGCUAAGCUUUUAUUGACGCUGAGGCACGAAAGCGUGGGGAUCAAACAGG